AACGAACGCUGGCGGCAUGCCUAACACAUGCAAGUCGAACGAGACCUCCGGGCCUAGUGGCGCACGGGUGCGUAACGCGUGGGAACCUGCCCUUAGGUUCGGAAUAACUCCCCGAAAGGGGUGCUAAUACCGGAUAAUGUCUUCGGACCAAAGAUUUAUCGCUUUUGGAUGGGCCCGCGUUGGAUUAGCCAGUUGGUAGGGUAAAAGCCUACCAAGGCGACGUUCCAUAGCUGGUCGGGGAAGAUGAUCAACCAGACUGGGACUGAGACACGGCCCAGUCUCCUACGGGGGGGAGCAGAAGAGAGUAUUAGACGAUGGACGCAAACCUAGUCCAGCAGUGCCGCGUGUGUGAUGAAGGGGUUAGGGUUGUAAAGCUCUUUUACACGGGAUGAUAAUGACAGUACCGGGUGAAUAAGCUCCGGCUAACUCCGUG
This 433-nucleotide ribosomal RNA is filed under the name uncultured bacterium. RNAcentral describes it as "partial 16S ribosomal RNA". It matches the Rfam family "Bacterial small subunit ribosomal RNA", at positions 29 to 507 of the family's 1533-position model. The record is from RNAcentral.